RNAcentral lists this transfer RNA (71 nucleotides) under Candidatus Pacearchaeota archaeon. RNAcentral's name for it is "tRNA-His". It matches the Rfam family "tRNA". Rfam says of the family: Transfer RNA (tRNA) molecules are approximately 80 nucleotides in length. Their secondary structure includes four short double-helical elements and three loops (D, anti-codon, and T loops). Further hydrogen bonds mediate the characteristic L-shaped molecular structure. tRNAs have two regions of fundamental functional importance: the anti-codon, which is responsible for specific mRNA codon recognition, and the 3' end, to which the tRNAs corresponding amino acid is attached (by aminoacyl-tRNA synthetases). tRNAs cope with the degeneracy of the genetic code in two manners: having more than one tRNA (with a specific anti-codon) for a particular amino acid; and 'wobble' base-pairing, i.e. permitting non-standard base-pairing at the 3rd anti-codon position. The record is from RNAcentral. Lineage: Archaea; Nanobdellati.
GCGGAUGUAGCUCAGUGGUAGAGUACCCGACUGUGGCUCGGGUUACCUGGGUUCGAUUCCCAGCUUCCGCU